Molecule: ribosomal RNA, 383 nt
Filed under: Escherichia coli
Lineage: Bacteria; Pseudomonadati; Pseudomonadota; Gammaproteobacteria; Enterobacterales; Enterobacteriaceae
Description: bacterial SSU rRNA
Rfam family: Bacterial small subunit ribosomal RNA
Source: RNAcentral
GUCGAGGCGCUGUGCGAUCUAACAGCGAGCGGAACCCUGGUAGUCCACGCCGUAAACGAUGUCGACUUGGAGGUUGUGCCCUUGAGGCGUGGCUUCCGGAGCUAACGCGUUAAGUCGACCGCCUGGGGAGUACGGCCGCAAGGUUAAAACUCAAAUGAAUUGACGGGGGCCCGCACAAGCGGUGGAGCAUGUGGUUUAAUUCGAUGCAACGCGAAGAACCUUACCUGGUCUUGACAUCCACAGAACUUUCCAGAGAUGGAUUGGUGCCUUCGGGAACUGUGAGACAGGUGCUGCAUGGCUGUCGUCAGCUCGUGUUGUGAAAUGUUGGGUUAAGUCCCGCAACGAGCGCAACCCUUAUCCUUUGGGCCCCAGCGGGUGGACGU